AUUGAACGCUGGCGGCAGGCCUAACACAUGCAAGUCGAGCGGAUGACGGGAGCUUGCUCCUUGAUUCAGCGGCGGACGGGUGAGUAAUGCCUAGGAAUCUGCCUGGUAGUGGGGGACAACGUUUCGAAAGGAACGCUAAUACCGCAUACGUCCUACGGGAGAAAGCAGGGGACCUUCGGGCCUUGCGCUAUCAGAUGAGCCUAGGUCGGAUUAGCUAGUUGGUGGGGUAAUGGCUCACCAAGGCGACGAUCCGUAACUGGUCUGAGAGGAUGAACAGUCACACGGGAACUGAGACACGGUCCAGACUACUACGGGAGGCAGCAGUGGGAAUAUUGGACAAUGGGCGAAAGCCUGAUCCAGCCAUGCCGCGUGUGUGAAGAAGGUCUUCGGAUUGUAAAGCACUUUAAGUUGGGAGGAAGGGCAGUAAGCUAAUACCUUGCUGUUUUGACGUUACCGACAGAAUAAGCACCGGCUAACUCUGUGCCAGCCGCCGCGGUAA
RNAcentral lists this ribosomal RNA (499 nucleotides) under uncultured bacterium. RNAcentral describes it as "partial 16S ribosomal RNA". It matches the Rfam family "Bacterial small subunit ribosomal RNA", at positions 30 to 523 of the family's 1533-position model. The record is from RNAcentral.